GACGAACGCUGGCGGCGUGCCUAACACAUGCAAGUCAGGGGGAAAUUUUUCUUCGGAAAAAGAGUAUACCGGCGAACGGGUGAGUAACGCGUAGAUAACCUACCCUAUACUCGGGGAUAACACAGAGAAAUUUGUGCUAACACCCGAUGAGGCAGUUCACUGUCAAAGGAAACGGUAUAGGAUGGGUCUGCGUCUGAUUAGCUAGUUGGUAGGGUAAAGGCUUACCAAGGCGACGAUCAGUAGCUGGUUUGAGAGGAUGAUCAGCCACACUGGAACUGAGACACGGUCCAG
Molecule: ribosomal RNA, 291 nt
Filed under: uncultured bacterium
Lineage: Bacteria
Description: partial 16S ribosomal RNA
Rfam family: Bacterial small subunit ribosomal RNA
Source: RNAcentral